UCCGCAGGGGGCCUGCCAAGUCUGUCGUGAAAUCCCGGGGCUCAACCCCGGGUCUGCGGUGGAAACAGGCGGGCUGGAGUGUGUGAGGGGUAGACGGAACACCUGGUGUAGCGGUGGAAUGCGUGGAUAUCAGGUGGAACACCGAUGGCGAAGGCGGUCUACUGGCACACAACUGACCCUCAGGGACGAAAGCGUGGGUAGCAAACAG
Molecule: ribosomal RNA, 208 nt
Filed under: uncultured bacterium
Lineage: Bacteria
Description: partial 16S ribosomal RNA
Rfam family: Bacterial small subunit ribosomal RNA
Source: RNAcentral